This 1820-nucleotide ribosomal RNA is filed under the name Craterium minutum. RNAcentral describes it as "SSU rRNA". It matches the Rfam family "Eukaryotic small subunit ribosomal RNA". The record is from RNAcentral. Lineage: Eukaryota; Evosea; Eumycetozoa; Physariida; Physaraceae.
CAUGCAUGCCUACGAAUAGAAGAGCUAUCUCUUUGAAUCUGCGAACGGCUCCGCAAACCAGUUGUAAACUAUCGCAAGCAAGCUCCGGUGGUAUUCGCAAGGGUAUCACCGGGGUAAUAAGGAUAACCCUGGUAAUUCUGAGGCUAAUACGAGACCGUAACCCCUAUCUAACCGGUAACGGGAGGGUGGGGAACGUGUAAUACAGCGCAAAGAAUGCUGGGAAUGGGUGCACGUUCAGACCACCAUACCAAACAGUGGUCGUAGCCUACCGGCGAAGGCUUCCUGGGUGGCUCUUGCUGUGUGCUUCUGACCUAUCAACUAGAUGGCAGCGUAACGGACAUGCUAUGGUUACAACGGGUACAGAGGAUAAGGGUUCGAUCCUGGAGAGUGGGCCUGAGAGAUUGCUCACACUUCUAAGGAAGGCAGCAGGCGCGCAACGUUCCCCUUGGGCAAUGCUCGAGGGCGUUAGGGGACAUAUGAAUGCCUGCCUCAUGGUGGGCAAUUCAAAUGGGUCUGUUGUAAACAGCCUCUCGAGUAACAAUUAGAGGACAAGUCUGGUGCCAGCACCCGCGGUAAUUCCAGCUCUAAUAGCAUACGUUAAAGUUGUUGCGGUUAAAACGCUCGUAGUCGGCUUCAGAUCUUCAUAUUUCCGAGCUCGGUUCCGGUUCGCUGCCCCGGUCAAGGGCACGCCGGGUGCUGGGCGAGGUAGGACGUCGAUCAAACGCGUCCCAGGCUGUCCCUCCGGGGUCACAGGGUCGGAGUUUAGGCUCCGAUUCGGUUUGGAACGCCAUUUACCAUGACUAAACUGGCGUGAUCAAAGCAUGUCGACCGACACGUACAGCACAGCAUGGCAUAAUCACACCGGAACAGGCCUUUUGCGGGGUUUGGAUCGGUAAAAGCGACAGGGGUGUUCGAGGGUGACCGAAUUGCGGGGCGAGUGGUGAAAUACGUUGACCCCCGCAAGUCGACCAAAGGCGAAAGCAGUCAUCAAGGGCACGCCCGUUGAUCAAGAGCGAAAGUUAAGGGUUCGAAGACGAUCAGAUACCGUCGUAGUCUUAACUAUAAAUGAUACAGACCAGAGAUAGGGUACUGUCCAUCUCGACUCCUCCUGAAUCUUGGAGAAAUCAGAGUCUUUGGGUUCUGGGGGGAGUAUGGUCGCAAGGCUGAAACUUAAAGGAAUUGACGGAAGGGCACACAAAGAGUGGAACCUGCGGCUUAAUUUGACUCAACACGGGAAAACUCACCAGGUCCAGAUACACGUAUGAAAGUCAAGCUGAAAGACUUUACUCAAUGAUGUAAGUGGUGGUGCAUGGUCGUUCGUAGUUCGUGGAUUGAUUUGUCUGGUCUAUUCCGAUAACGAGCGAGACCCCAACGUUCCUAAUAGGGGUGACAGCCCGGUUCGUCGCGAGACGGGUUAGCAGUCACCUAGGAUUAGCUUCUUAGACGUAUCAGGGCCGAUAAGGUCCUUGAAAUGGGUUAAUAACAGGUCAGUCAUGCCCUUAGAUGUUCUGGGCCGCACGCGCGUUACAAUGGCAUGUAAAAAAAGUGCUGCAAAAGGUGUCCCCGGGGCUGAAAAGUCCUGGUAACCCUUAGUCCCUGCCUUGACUGGGACAGAUCAUUGCAAUUAUUGGUCUCAAACGAGGAAUUUUUAGUAAUCGCAGGUCACUAACCUGCGAUGAAUGCGUCCCUGCCCUUUGUACACACCGCCCGUCGCUGCUACCGAUUGGGUUUUACAGUUACGCGUUCAGAGGCGGCUUUUCCCUGCUGCUUUCGGGUAGCAGAUAGGCUGCCGAAGUCCUAAUUACUGUACGGCCUAGAGA